RNAcentral lists this long non-coding RNA (1148 nucleotides) under Heterocephalus glaber (naked mole-rat). RNAcentral describes it as "lncRNA (ENSHGLG00000037705.1)". The record is from RNAcentral. Lineage: Eukaryota; Metazoa; Chordata; Mammalia; Rodentia; Bathyergidae.
AGUGAUACCAGCUGAAAACCGAAGUUUACAUUCCAUCUUCAAAAUGAGAUACUGCAAGAAUGCCAAAAAUCCAGCACAGCCUUCUCAAGUAACAAUCCAAUCCUUGAGGGGACAUUGGGAUUUUGAGUUGUGGAAUUUUCCACCCAUUUAUCCUUUCAUUUUCAGUCUUCUUUGCCUCAAAGUGUCAGUUGGCUCCUCUGAGUCACAGCUGUACAAAUCACAGGACUAUUUUUUUAAUUGGCACCAGGCAUAUACAUUAUUCAUCUAUUUGGUUUCAUCUGAAGCAAAUCAAAUAAAGAAGCACUUUUAUUUUCCAAUGAAAUAUUCAAAGCUGCUUUUUCCCCACAAGAGACUAGGCAGAAAACUCCAUCCAUGAUCUAUCACAUCUCUGCACAGCCAGCAAAGAGAUCUUGUUAUAACAGAGAUGAGAUCCCCAUCACUUCUCUGCUUAAAACUCUGUAAGGCAUUCCUCUGAACCAUGGUCCAUAUGACUUGGGAUUCCUCCUCCUUGGACAUGCUAGACUCAUUAAGCCACAGGACCUUUGCAGUUACUGUUCACUCUCCCUGAACUGCUAUUCCCCAGAUUACUUAAGAUAAUCUCAGUCAUUUAUUUCUGCACCAUCAUGCCUGCAUGCCUCUGUCUCCAAGGUGAGAUCUCUGUUGACUGAUUAACUGGCUCUGGAAAAGGAAAGAUUUCAAUCUUGGACUCUGAGUUUUCUGUAACUCAGUGAGUCACUAUCUUUACUAGGAAUAAGAAUAUCAGAUAUGAAUGAAAGCUGCAAAGAAGCCAGAAAGAUAGAGCCCAGAGUCUCCCAAGAUUGUCUCUCUCAUUGCAUACACAAAGGAGACUCUGAAAUGGGACACUGGAUUUACAAAAAUAAGAAGAAAUAAUAGCUUCUUCCAUAAUAGAAAUUAGGCUAAGAAGAGAAACUGAAGGCAUAUGAUGCUGUAAUUGAACAGAAACAAUAAUAAUAAAGACAGUUUGUAAUGUGGAACACUUGGAAAGAAAUUAAUAAAUGAUGGAUAGAAAUCUUUCUGAGACUGAAAACUGAGUAAUUCUCUUACAGGACCAAAACAUUUCCUUCAGGGAACCACUAUGGCUAGGAAAUUGAGACAAGAUUUCCUACUCACCUGCCCACAAUGUGCUC